This is a long non-coding RNA of Capra hircus (goat), 554 nucleotides long. RefSeq lists it as uncharacterized. Lineage: Eukaryota; Metazoa; Chordata; Mammalia; Artiodactyla; Bovidae. The transcript has 4 exons. The record is from RefSeq and is a predicted model, not a curated record.
ACAGCUAGGAAUGGUUGACCCCAGAUCCUGAAGAAAAUGAAUGCUAGGAAGAUUCCAGCACUGACCUACUGGCCUUUUGAGCUUUUAAUGUGAAGUUAGGGACUGGCGUGAAGAGCAGCUGGGCAGGGAAAAUAAACCAUGAUCUACUGCCGGGAUUCAGAAAAUUCAGUUCAUGAAUCACCGUAAAUCUGACUGGCCUGCUGUGAAGGGAGAUUACCCUAAUCCAUGACACUCUUCCCGGGAUCAUCCAGCCCCCUGUGCACUUCCCCCCAGGAGCCACUAAAGCCCAGAACAAAUCCCCUAUGGAAAGCUCUUGCAGUAGCCCUUCCCCUGCCUCAGAGUAAUAGGAGCUGUCUGUUAUCUCCAGCUGGAAAAUUAAAGUUCUACUUGGUCAAAGCCAAAAGGUAGCAGGAUGAAGUGGCUGCUAGAGCCUGACUUCCUACUAUGAAAAAGGCUGUUAAUGUCCUGCAGUGGAUGCUGACAUACAGCGAUGUGGUUCCAGACUUGAGCUCAGGAGGCAGGUGUUCGGGCUUCCGUGGUCGCUCAGUUGGUAA